UGAGACAGGUUGGUCUCCUAUCUUCUGCAGGCGUUGAAUUUUGAGGGGAUUUGCUCCUAGUACGAGAGGACCGGAGUGAACUGACCUCUGGUGUGGCUGCUGUCCUGCCAAGGGCACCGCAGCGUAGCUAUGUCGGGAAUGGAUAACCUCUGAAAGCAUCUAAGAGGGAAGCCAACCCCAAGAUCAGAAUUCGUUUGAGGCCCGUGAGAGAUGAUCACGUUGAUAGGCUCUAUGUGUAAGACGAGUAAUCGUUUCAGCAGAGGAGUACUAAUACGCCGAUUCCU
RNAcentral lists this ribosomal RNA (284 nucleotides) under Candidatus Yonathbacteria bacterium. RNAcentral's name for it is "partial 23S ribosomal RNA". It matches the Rfam family "Bacterial large subunit ribosomal RNA", at positions 2622 to 2925 of the family's 2925-position model. Lineage: Bacteria; Candidatus Yonathiibacteriota. The record is from RNAcentral.